UUACAUAAAAUGAGAGUAGAGAAGAGGAUCUAUAAAGGGUUUCUUUUCAUCCUUCUUUUAAUCAUCCUCAAUGCUCUUUUACUCAGUGUGUUAGAGGAACGGUUGUACAGAACUCUUCUUGAUACGGUCUCUUACGGUCAUCAUGCAGUACGUGAAGUGCAACUAGAAAAACAACAAUAUACAGAAAAUGAACUAGUUAUAAGCUUUGAAGAAGACGGAAGAUUUGGAAACCUGCUGCUUGAGACUGGUACUCUCCUCCUAGUAGGGAGACGAGUAAAUAAAACCGUAAGCCUGCUCCCUCAAGUUGCAAAAAAACUUAAAAACUAUUUUGAUAAACUUCCCAUGGAACCGAUUGACAGUAAGAGGCAUUGUGUGUGCAGCCGGUGUCAGGAGUGUACAUGUGAGUACUGCAAUAAGUGGCACAAAAUGCCGUCCUAUCAUUACCACGUUGACUCAAAACUCAGAUCUCGAUAUCUUCUCCUACAGUGGUUUGAUUCUAACCUCGUGGUUCGAAAUCUGGCAGAGAUCUCAGCUAUAUAUAGAUCCUUACUCAGGAUAGAUCUUGUAAAUCAGGUUAUAGAAACCUAGCAGAGAUCUCAGCUUUAUAUAGAUCCAUACUCAGGGUAGAGAUCUUGUAAAUCAGGUUUUAGAAACCUAGCAGAGAUCUCAGCAAUAUAGAUCCUUACUCAGGGUAGAUCUUGUAAAUCAGGUUAUAGAAACCUAGCAGAGAUCUCAGCUAUAUAUAGAUCCUUACUCAGAAUAGAUCUUGUAAAUCAGUUUAUAGAAACCUAGCAGAGAUCUCUGCUUUAUAUAGAUCCAUACUCAGGGUAGAUCUUGUAAAUCAGGUUAUAGAAACCUAGCAGAGAUCUCAGCUAUAUAUAGAUCCUUACUCAGGAUAGAUCUUGUAAAUCAGGUUCAGAUGUAUUUACGAGAUCUAUCUGGUCAUGUUCCUCAUGUUUAUGUCGGGGUUCAUGUUCGUAGAACAGAUUACAUAAACUACAUACAGACUAGAUACA
RNAcentral lists this unclassified non-coding RNA (1016 nucleotides) under Eurytemora carolleeae. RNAcentral describes it as "uncharacterized LOC111713030". The record is from RNAcentral. Lineage: Eukaryota; Metazoa; Arthropoda; Copepoda; Calanoida; Temoridae.